GGGGAUGCAACGGAUUCGACGGGGAUACAGAGAUCUGAUAAGCGGGCGGAUGCAGCUAUCAUCCUAAAAAUGGCUGACUUUUAUAAAUUAAAGAACAACGAUAAUCCUGUUCUUCUCGCUGCUUAAUUAGCGAGCGUCUCCUUCGAAAGGACCACGGUUCGUCGUGAGGCGUCGAUCAGUGGUGAACGUGAGCAUUUAAAGCUUUGAAAAUGCCAUGAAUAAUGAAGCUACCGAGCAACUGCGUUUGACAGUUCAUGCUUUUGUGCGGGAAUCUCAAGUAACUGUCUGCGCCCGGAGAAGGUCAUUUUGAAGUGUUUUCGGACGGGGGUUCAACUCCCCCCAUCUCCACCA
This 351-nucleotide transfer-messenger RNA is filed under the name Oscillospiraceae bacterium. It matches the Rfam family "transfer-messenger RNA". Rfam says of the family: Bacterial tmRNA, also known as 10Sa RNA or SsrA, is named for its dual tRNA and mRNA-like properties. Its role is to liberate the mRNA from a stalled ribosome. The record is from RNAcentral. Lineage: Bacteria; Bacillati; Bacillota; Clostridia; Eubacteriales; Oscillospiraceae.